CUUGAAUAACUAUAAGAGGUCCAGCCUGCCCAGUGACUUUGUUCAACGGCCGCGGUAUCCUAACCGUGCGAAGGUAGCGUAAUCACUUGUCUUUUAAAUGGGGACUUGUAUGAAUGGCAUCACGAGGGUUAUACUGUCUCCUUUUUCUAAUCAGUGAAACUAAUCUUCCCGUGAAGAAGCGGGAAUAAACAUAUAAGACGAGAAGACCCUAUGGAGCUUUAAACUCAAUAACAAAUACUAACCUUACAUCAACUUUCAGAAAAUCAACCUUAAUUUUAGUAUUAUGAUUGUUAGUUUUAGGUUGGGGUGACCGCGGAGUAAAAAUUAACCUCCACAUUGAACGGGACCUGUCCCUGAGCCAAGAACUACAGCUCUAAGCACCAACAAAUUGACAUUAAUUGACCCAAUAUUUUGAUCAACGAAC
RNAcentral lists this ribosomal RNA (424 nucleotides) under Osteocephalus taurinus group sp. ABGD cluster 12. Its description in RNAcentral is "partial large subunit ribosomal RNA". It matches the Rfam family "Bacterial large subunit ribosomal RNA", at positions 1834 to 2439 of the family's 2925-position model. The record is from RNAcentral. Lineage: Eukaryota; Metazoa; Chordata; Amphibia; Anura; Hylidae.